UGGGAGCACCUGGCGCCCUCCUCAGGGCUGGAGGAGCCGCCCCCGCCCCCACCAGAGGGCCAGGAAGAAGAGGAAGACGAUCAGCAGCGACAGCAUCAGGGCCAGAGCUGAGCUUGAGCGGCCAUCCGCACAAGCUGUGGACUGGUGUGACAGCGUGAGAUGCCUUUUGAGUGUACAGCAAAUAAAAGUUUUCCGUCCUGGGAAAAAAAAAAA
Molecule: long non-coding RNA, 213 nt
Organism: Lutra lutra (Eurasian river otter)
Lineage: Eukaryota; Metazoa; Chordata; Mammalia; Carnivora; Mustelidae
Exons: 3
Source: RefSeq, a predicted model, not a curated record